GAAUCGGGCAGCUCACAAGAUACGUGUCAGGCGCUGGUACGCCUUCAACUCGACGAAGUAAACUAUAUAUCUAGGUGCAUUAGCCAAUUAAUUUCAUAUAAUCUGUAGGUGGAAGUUUGAGAAUUGUCCGAGUUGAAUUUUGCAAAAUAUGGAUGCUUCGAAGGGAUCAAUGGCAAAAACAAAAGAGGAAAUCAGGGUGGAGACGGUGGAUUAUCGAUCACCGGCGGGAGAAGACAAAGAAGCCAAGAAGGAGGACGUUGAAGUGGUUCAUGAGAUUCGAGACGGCGGAGCAAAGAGUGAGGGUGUUCACCCUUUUGCAGGUGCAGCUGCUGCAGUGGCAAACAGCAUUCAAUCAGCAAAGGAUGCCAUCUCUGGUGGUGCCAAAGAAUCCAAAGAUGAUAAGACCAGUAAAUGAGUGAGUGCAGCCGGUGCACGAUGACAUGAUAUCAUGUAACGUUCGCUUGUUAUUCGACGGAAAUAAAAACUGUAUUAGGAAAUGAAAUGAAGUUCAAGUGCACAUAUAUUUGUGUUUCCUUGUACUUGUUUUGUUAGAAAUUGUGCGAUUGCAAGUUUUUAAGAGAUUUAUCAUCCAUCUCAUUCCUUCGUCAAGCUGUGUGCAUCUCCUUGUUCGUGAGGAGGAUCUUCUGUACGUGACGUUCAUUCAAGAGAAAAUAAAGCACGAUGGAGUAUUGCAAGACAAUAGGAUUUGGUGUAGCUUUGAUUGUGGUGUCUUAUCAAAUUGAGUCUUGUGAAGUCUUGUUUUCUUAGUGGAAUGUGUGUGCUCGUUUUUUAUAUUCA
Molecule: long non-coding RNA, 798 nt
Organism: Malus domestica (apple)
Lineage: Eukaryota; Viridiplantae; Streptophyta; Magnoliopsida; Rosales; Rosaceae
Source: RefSeq, a predicted model, not a curated record